RNAcentral lists this ribosomal RNA (484 nucleotides) under uncultured bacterium. RNAcentral describes it as "partial 16S ribosomal RNA". It matches the Rfam family "Bacterial small subunit ribosomal RNA", at positions 30 to 507 of the family's 1533-position model. The record is from RNAcentral.
AUUGAACGCUGGCGGCAUGCCUAACACAUGCAAGUCGAGCGGAUGAAGGGAGCUUGCUCCUGUAUUCAGCUGCGGACGGGUGAGUAAUUCCUAGGAAUCUGCCUUGUAUAGGGGGAUAACGUCCCUAAACGGACGCUAAUACCGCAUACGUCCUGAUGGAGAAAGUCGUGGAUCUUUGGACCUAACGCUAUCUGAUGAGCCUAGGUCGCAUUAGCUAGUUGGUUGGGUAAAGGCUUACCAAGGCGACUAUCCGUAACUGACCUGAGAGGAUGAUCUGACACACUGGAACUGAGACACGGUCCAGACUCCUACGGGAGGCAGCAGUAGGGAAUAUUGGGCAAUGGGCGAAAGCCUGAUCCAGCAAUGCCGCGUGUGUGAAGAAGGUCUUCGGAUUGUAAAGCACUUUAAGUUGGGAGGAAGGACAGUAAGUUAAUACAUUGCUGUUUUGACGUUACCAACAGAAUAAGCAACGGCUAACUUCGUG